Molecule: small RNA, 251 nt
Filed under: Sorex araneus (European shrew)
Lineage: Eukaryota; Metazoa; Chordata; Mammalia; Eulipotyphla; Soricidae
Description: 7SK RNA (ENSSARG00000019073.1)
Rfam family: 7SK RNA (bases 1-161)
About the family: 7SK was discovered as an abundant small nuclear RNA in the mid-70s but a possible function has only recently been suggested. Two independent studies have found that 7SK RNA binds the CDK9/cyclin T complex (known as elongation factor P-TEFb).
Source: RNAcentral
GAAGGCGUUCUGGCUAUGACAUCUGUUACCCAAUGAUGGCCAGAGUUGACUUGGCUGAUCUGGGUGGCAAGGCAGGGAUCUCCCACCUCUCCAUGUGAGUCCCUCCUGACGCUACACGCUCAAAGAGGACAGCCUUCCAGGAGGACUGGUCAAUGGUGGAAUCUAUCACAUGUGUGUGGAGAACAGAGGGUAGGAAAGAUUGAGAAGGGACUAGUAAGUAAGACAAUAAUACUUGGAAAUGACCAUGCUGG